This is a non-coding RNA of Cinara cedri, 513 nucleotides long. NCBI's taxonomy places the organism in Eukaryota, Metazoa, Arthropoda, Insecta, Hemiptera, Aphididae. The record is from the annotation of a GenBank genome assembly.
CACAAAAAUCCGGGAAAUAUAGAGAAUACGGACAAAUUUAACGGUAUUUGAGUUUUUUUAUUGUUUACCGGUUUGAAAUUAUCGUAGAGAUCUUUAUUUUUAAAACAUACUACACUUAUAGGAUUUUCGUAGACGAGGUAAAAUUUUCAAAACAUUUGAACUAAUUUUAAACUAUUUAUGUCUUACUAAAAUUUGAUCAUUUAAGAGUAAUCCUUGAAAAUUUAAUAUACAGUAGCAGUUGAAGGUAUGAUAAUAGUUGUGCUUAGUGAGUUAAAAAAUACAUUUGAGUUUAAUGAUUAUUUUUUUUGUAAGCGUUUUAAGAUCAUUUUUUGACGAAAAUCGUAAAAAUUACGGUAUUUCAAAAUAUAUCUCACAGAACUUUGCACCGAAUCGUUUUUCAUUAGCAAUAAUAUAUUUUUGUGUUUAAAUAUAAAUUAACUAACUCUACAUAUUCUUUUUUCGCGAUUUGAUUUUCCAUCUGAAAUGGCUUCAUCCGUCUUCAGUAUCGGCUUU